This 448-nucleotide ribosomal RNA is filed under the name uncultured bacterium. RNAcentral describes it as "bacterial SSU rRNA". It matches the Rfam family "Bacterial small subunit ribosomal RNA", at positions 330 to 794 of the family's 1533-position model. The record is from RNAcentral.
UCCAGACUCCUACGGGAGGCAGCAGUGGGGGAUAUUGCACAAUGGGGGGAACCCUGAUGCAGCGACGCCGCGUGGGUGAAGGAGCGUUUCGGCGCGUAAAGCCCUAUCGGCAGGGAAGAAGGAGGACGGUACCUGACUAAGAAGCCCCGGCUAACUACGUGCCAGCAGCCGCGGUAAUACGUAGGGGGCAAGCGUUAUCCGGAUUUACUGGGUGUAAAGGGGGCGCAGACGGCAGCGCAAGCCAGGAGUGAAAGCCCGGGGCCCAACCCCGGGACUGCUCUUGGAACUGCGCGGCUGGAGUGCAGGAGGGGCAGGCGGAAUUCCUGGUGUAGCGGUGAAAUGCGUAGAUAUCAGGAGGAACACCGGUGGCGAAGGCGGCCUGCUGGACGACAACUGACGGUGAGGCGCGAAAGCGUGGGGAGCAAACAGGAUUAGAUACCCCUGUAGA